GCGGUAGUUCAGUUGGUUAGAAUACCGGCCUGUCACGCCGGGGGUCGCGGGUUCCCGCCCCGUCAACCGCGCCA
Molecule: transfer RNA, 74 nt
Filed under: Halioglobus sp.
Lineage: Bacteria; Pseudomonadati; Pseudomonadota; Gammaproteobacteria; Cellvibrionales; Halieaceae
Description: tRNA-Asp
Rfam family: tRNA
About the family: Transfer RNA (tRNA) molecules are approximately 80 nucleotides in length. Their secondary structure includes four short double-helical elements and three loops (D, anti-codon, and T loops). Further hydrogen bonds mediate the characteristic L-shaped molecular structure. tRNAs have two regions of fundamental functional importance: the anti-codon, which is responsible for specific mRNA codon recognition, and the 3' end, to which the tRNAs corresponding amino acid is attached (by aminoacyl-tRNA synthetases). tRNAs cope with the degeneracy of the genetic code in two manners: having more than one tRNA (with a specific anti-codon) for a particular amino acid; and 'wobble' base-pairing, i.e. permitting non-standard base-pairing at the 3rd anti-codon position.
Source: RNAcentral